RNAcentral lists this long non-coding RNA (370 nucleotides) under Homo sapiens (human). Its description in RNAcentral is "long intergenic non-protein coding RNA 1002". The record is from RNAcentral. Lineage: Eukaryota; Metazoa; Chordata; Mammalia; Primates; Hominidae.
AUCAGAAAAAAAGCGUAUUCUUUUAGGUGUUCAGCCACACUGCUUUGGUGUCACAACUGCACAUUGGUUUCACAGCUGCAGGACAAGUUCGAGCAUCUUAAAAUGAUUCAACAGGAGGAGAUAAGGAAGCUCGAGGAAGAGAAAAAACAACUGGAAGGAGAAAUCAUAGAUUUUUAUAAAAUGAAAGCUGCCUCUGAAGCACUGCAGACUCAGCUGAGCACCGAUACAAAGAAAGACAAACAUCUUCUAAAUGGUGCACUGGAUGUUGAAAAAGUUGAUGAUGAGCAAGAACAAAAUUCCUGCUUUCAGGAGACUUACAGUUCAAUAUGGGAAAUAUAAUUUGUUAAAAUAUAAAAGUGCAAUUGUGUUA